UUUUGUCAAUGAACUUACAUUAGGGUGAACGUAGGAGGGUGGUGGGGCAGGGUGGCCAUAUCAUGUGGGAAAAUGCCUUGCAGAGGAAUCCUUUGUUUCAGAUUUUAAUAAACGUGCACCUGAAACAAAACAAACAAACAAACAAAAAA
Molecule: non-coding RNA, 149 nt
Organism: Vicugna pacos (alpaca)
Lineage: Eukaryota; Metazoa; Chordata; Mammalia; Artiodactyla; Camelidae
Source: RefSeq, a predicted model, not a curated record